Bombyx mori (domestic silkworm) is the source of this 343-nucleotide long non-coding RNA. RefSeq lists it as uncharacterized. The transcript has 2 exons. NCBI's taxonomy places the organism in Eukaryota, Metazoa, Arthropoda, Insecta, Lepidoptera, Bombycidae. The record is from RefSeq and is a predicted model, not a curated record.
AAUAAGAUCACAGUUUAUAUAAGUUUUUAAUACACCUGGAAAUACCACAACAAACGAAUCUAUUCACGCGUCGAAUCAUGAUUUUGUUAACAUUCAAAACGCACACACAAAUAAAAACAGGCCUCAGAUUUUAAAUGUAACAUUAAUUAAAAAUCCGAGAUAUCCAAUUAUGAGUGAGUGAAUUAAUUGAGUUUAGUUAUUUAGCUUAGAAAGAAUUUCUUUUAUUUUUGUUAUUAUUGGCAGUAAUCAGAUAAAGCUGUUUUUUUAUCUUAUUCACCUGAUAUCUUACUCUUGCUCAAAGAUUAUUUUGAAAAUGUUGAUUAAAUAAAAUUGUAUUAUUGCA